AUUGAACGCUGGCGGCAGGCCUAACACAUGCAAGUCGAGCGAGCGGCGGACGGGUGAGUAAUGUCUGGGAAUCUGCCUGAUGGAGGGGGAUAACUACUGGAAACGGUAGCUAAUACCGCAUACUCUCGGAUGUGCCCAUAUGGGAUUAGCUAGUAGGUGGGGGAAAGGCUCACCUAGGCGACGAUCCCUAGCUGGUCUGAGAGGAUGAACAGCCACACUGGAACUGAGACACGGUCCAGACUCCUACGGGAGGCAGCAGUGGGGAAUAUUGCACAAUGGGCGCAAGCCUGAUGCAGCCAUGCCGCGUGUAUGAAGAAGGCCUUCGGGUUGUAAAGUACUUUCAGCGGGGAGGCGUUACCCGCAGAAGAAGCACCGGCUAACUCCGUGCCAGCAGCCGCGGUAAUAC
This 406-nucleotide ribosomal RNA is filed under the name uncultured bacterium. RNAcentral describes it as "partial 16S ribosomal RNA". It matches the Rfam family "Bacterial small subunit ribosomal RNA", at positions 30 to 526 of the family's 1533-position model. The record is from RNAcentral.